GACGAACGCUGGCGGCGUGCUUAACACAUGCAAGUCGAACGAGAGGACAAGAGAAGCUUGCUUCUUUUGGAAUCGAGUGGCAAACGGGUGAGUAACACGUAAACAACCUGCCUUCAGGAUGGGGACAACAGACGGAAACGACUGCUAAUACCGAAUACGCUUGGGAGACCGCAUGAUCUUCCAAGGAAAGGGUGGCCUCUACUUGUAAGCUAUCGCCUGAAGAGGGGUUUGCGUCUGAUUAGGCAGUUGGUGAGGUAACGGCCCACCAAACCUACGAUCAGUAGCCGGUCUGAGAGGAUGAACGGCCACACUGGAACUGAGACACGGUCCAGACUCCUACGGGAGGCAGCAGUGGGGAAUCUUCCGCAAUGGGCGAAAGCCUGACGGAGCAACGCCGCGUGAGUGAUGACGGCCUCGGUGUAAAGGUACUCUGUGAUCGGGACGAACGGUCCGUAAGCCAAUACC
This 465-nucleotide ribosomal RNA is filed under the name uncultured bacterium. RNAcentral describes it as "bacterial SSU rRNA". It matches the Rfam family "Bacterial small subunit ribosomal RNA", at positions 28 to 479 of the family's 1533-position model. The record is from RNAcentral.